UAUGAUAUGAGAAUUGCUUUUUUUUUACAUCUAUCUUUUAUGUUUGUCUUUGGAAAGCUACUGAGUUGUGUUCCUUUUCUUAUUUCUUUUAUGUUUAUCUCUAUGAAACUAAUAACAAGCACUGCAUGAUACAUACAGUCAAACGGAAGAAGAAGUAAAAUCUAAACACCCCGAGUUUCAUAUGCAGAUCUUUACCAGGUAUAAGAGUAAGUAUAUACUUAUGAAUCUCUUAUAAUUUUGCAUCUUCUAUUAUGCUAGUUAUUUAAGCAUCCAUUAGUUAUUUAGUACAUUGUGGUGAUAAAGCUUUUCAAAUUGUAACUAAGGUAGGUUUCUGUUUUUAACUGUUAAAAGAGCAAAAUAGUGAUUACUGCUGACACUGAGGCUGGAAUCCCUGUGGAACAAAGGCCUUUGUUAGUUGUUAACAUAUCUUUUUUCAUUCCGUUUAGAUUGAAUCACUAAAUUGUGACUUUUGGAUGGCCAGUGGAAAGAAAAAUCAUGAACUGAAAAGGCUUAUGAAUCUGCUUAUACUAUUUUAUAGUCUGCCAGUGGAAAGAAAAACCAUGCAUAUAUUUCUAAGAGUUUUUUCAUUUUUCACUUGGACCUUUGUGCCUUUAUUGUAAGAGUUUUAUUGUUGAUUGAAUCGAAAUGAAGGUUAAUUUUUUAGAAAUGUGUUGCUUGGACAGGUGCAGGGGAAAAUGAGUAAAUGCUUUAUAGCUUCUUGUAGUAAUACCUUAUCUGCCUUAAUUUCAAGAACAUUAUCGCAGGUAAGUAUUUAUUCCAAUUUCCCCCAUUUAAAUUUACUGUGUAAUCUAUUUUUAGUAAAAAAAAAUGAUGAAUUUUGAUUGAUAUAUUGAUGCUUUGAAUAUUUGAAUUCCACACAAAUUGAUGAUUUGAAUGCUUGAAUGCUGCAUUGACUCUCCCAUGGUUGUGGGGAAUUGGCAAUAUAACUGAUUAAAAUUAAACCUUAAAAGAGAAAUUGAGCAUAUGUUUUGUUAGGUAUGAAGAAUGUAAUUUUCUGAUUAUUUCGGAUUCUAUUACAAUUUUCAGUUUGGAAUUUUAGUUUAAAAAUUGUUUGGCAUAUUGUUGUUGGAGUUGUUGGUGAUGAAUUUGUGAUUAAAAUAUUGUUGCAAUUUUCUGUUUUGAAUAUUGUUGGUGAAUGAUGAUGUUUGUGAUUGUUUUUGGUGUUGUUGGUGACGAAUUUGUGAAUAGGGCUGUCGAGGUGAGAUUGACAAGGUUCGUGAGGAUUGGGCUUCUUGUGUGAUCAAUGAGAUUGACAAGUGAAAUGAUGGUUCAUGAAGAGAGAUUCGUUAGUUUUGGAUAUGAGGUUCCAGCGGCUGCUACUUCAAACUACUUUUCUUUUUUUGUUUGUAUUAGCUUAGGAUGUAUUCAAACAUUAACUCAAACUUAUGGAUGUAAGAUUCUUAAUGUUGGCUGAUUAUUGAAUGAAUGUGUUUUUUAGAAUUUAAA
Molecule: long non-coding RNA, 1467 nt
Organism: Salvia miltiorrhiza (redroot sage)
Lineage: Eukaryota; Viridiplantae; Streptophyta; Magnoliopsida; Lamiales; Lamiaceae
Exons: 2
Source: RefSeq, a predicted model, not a curated record